Cajanus cajan (pigeon pea) is the source of this 871-nucleotide long non-coding RNA. RefSeq lists it as uncharacterized. NCBI's taxonomy places the organism in Eukaryota, Viridiplantae, Streptophyta, Magnoliopsida, Fabales, Fabaceae. The record is from RefSeq and is a predicted model, not a curated record.
UGCAAUCACACAAGAAUCAUAAGAUGAAGAUCAGUGUCCCAAAUUCUACCACUUGGUAAUAAACCUUCCUCAUUUUUUUCUUUCUACCUUCAUUCCCCUCUUCCCUCUCUAGCUCCUGUUCUUGUUUAGAGUCAGAAUAACUCCUCCUAUGUACCAACUAGCUAGUGGCAUCAUAAAAAGGUGCAUGCUGAGCAAGAUGGAGAAGCAGGGCACGUGCAAUUCUAACUCAUGAACGCACCUUGAAUGAAACCAACCCAGAGAAUCACAUGCUUUAUUUUUUCUGCUUUUCACCAACCAGAUAGAUAGUGAGUUAGUCCUUCAUGUGCCCCUCUUCCCCAUCAUGACGGCAGCACCUUAAAUAGCAUUUGGAAAAUGGGAUUUUGAUUUUGUGAUCGAUGCUCCACUUUCAAGAUUGCUAGCUGUGCUGAUUUUCACGGGGAGAUCACCGUGAUACCGACCAAGCCUUUGAACAAGACAAAAUGAGAAUGAGAAAGUAUGUUGUUUCUUUUGUACUAUAUGGGGAUUACGAAUGAUCUAUUACCAUACGAAUCCCACGAAAAGACAUGGGACAUUAUUUCAUUGAACAAAAGCUAAACAAAAAUAUAUAAAAAGAAUCUGUGUUUCGACGGAAAUCAUGGGUACCCAUGUAUUUACGUUUGUACGAAUCCGUAAUGAGAAGCAUUUCCCAUACAUAUACGAACAGAUAGAAAUAAAAGAUACUAUUUUCUACUUUAUUCUACCCAUUUCUUUAACGUUACGCGCAUUAAGUUUAGCCGUUGGAUGAUAUUUUUACUCAUAAAUUUUCUCCACAAAAUUAAGUUCUAGGUGUUCAACUACUCAAAAAAAAAAAAAAAAAAACAACAACAAAAAA